Molecule: RNA transcript, 920 nt
Organism: Aquila chrysaetos chrysaetos
Lineage: Eukaryota; Metazoa; Chordata; Aves; Accipitriformes; Accipitridae
Gene: MRPL21
Gene name: mitochondrial ribosomal protein L21
Exons: 7
Source: RefSeq, a predicted model, not a curated record
CCCGCCGCGAACUUCCGCUUCCGGGGCGGGGUCAUCGCGAUGGCGGCAGCGGUGGUGACGGGGGUCCGGCGGCGGGCGGCAGCCUUCUUGCUUUCAUCUGCGGUUCGUCACCAGAGUUCCCAGAGCACAUCACUGCAGCAAGGACUUGUUGCCAAAACAUCUCUGACUUCACCCCCAUGGCCUGAAGUGAAACUUCCAGAUCCAGUAGAAGAAGCGAAGUAUCAUGCAGAAGUGGUACAAAAGGUGAACAAGAUGAUUGCAACGGGGCAGUAUGGAAGACUCUUUGCUGUGGUCCACUUUGCCAGCAAGCAGUGGAAAAUAACCGGUGAAGACUUGAUUAUGAUGGACAAUGUACUGGAGGCUGAAUGUGGAGACCGAAUCCGGAUGGAAAAGGUUUUGCUGGUUGGUGCUGACGACUUCACGCUUAUUGGAAGGCCACUCCUCGGGUAAGAUGUCUUAUAGAAGAAUUAUCUUCAAGACAAUUCUUAAUUGUAGCUUCAGGGCUCCUACAGUCUCUGAAACUGAAGAGAAACCUGGAUUUAUCAGCACUAGCUUUUUUCCCCAGCCCUGUGGCUUUUGAAAGGAUCACCAAUAAAACAAGCUCAUCAGCCUCUGCUGGCUCUAACCAUUGCCACAGUGCCAGGAUAGAGCAGCAGUACCCAUUUCUAAGGAAAGAUCUUGUCCGUGUGGAGGCUACUGUGAUUGAAAAGACGGAGUCAUGGCCAAAAAUUAACAUGCGCUUUUGGAAGAGGCACAACUAUCAAAGGAAGAAAAUCAUUGUGAACCCACAGACCGUCCUUCGGAUAAAUACCAUAGAAAUUUUCCCCUGUUUGUCAUGAUUGAUUGCUCGGGUGUUGUGUGGCUUAGGUUUAUUAUUGCUUUAGGCAAUUAUGGAAAUAAAACUGCCUUGUCAUUGGAAA